UUACGGUCAAAUCACGCUGAAACACCGGUUCUCGUACGAUCACCGAAGUUAAGCAGCGUAGAGCCAGGUCAGUACUUAGAUGGGGACCGCUUGGGAACACCUGGUACUAUA
RNAcentral lists this ribosomal RNA (111 nucleotides) under Acanthosepion pharaonis. Lineage: Eukaryota; Metazoa; Mollusca; Cephalopoda; Sepiida; Sepiidae. The record is from RNAcentral.